GAUGAACGCUGGCGGCGUGCCUAAUACAUGCAAGUCGAGCGAACGGACGAGAAGCUUGCUUCUCUGAUGUUAGCGGCGGACGGGUGAGUAACACGUGGAUAACCUACCUAUAAGACUGGGAUAACUUCGGGAAACCGGAGCUAAUACCGGAUAAUAUUUUGAACCGCAUGGUUCAAAAGUGAAAGACGGUCUUGCUGUCACUUAUAGAUGGAUCCGCGCUGCAUUAGCUAGUUGGUUAGGUAACGGCUUACCAAGGCAACGAUGCAUAGCCGACCUGAGAGGGUGAUCGGCCACACUGGAACUGAGACACGGUCCAGACUCCUACGGGAGGCAGCAGUAGGGAAUCUUCCGCAAUGGGCGAAAGCCUGACGGAGCAACGCCGCGUGAGUGAUGAAGGUCUUCGGAUCGUAAAACUCUGUUAUUAGGGAAGAACAUAUGUGUAAGUAACUGUGCACAUCUUGACGGUACCUAAUCAGAAAGCCACGGCUAACUACGUG
RNAcentral lists this ribosomal RNA (497 nucleotides) under uncultured bacterium. Its description in RNAcentral is "partial 16S ribosomal RNA". It matches the Rfam family "Bacterial small subunit ribosomal RNA", at positions 28 to 507 of the family's 1533-position model. The record is from RNAcentral.